AACGUAGGUCACAAGCGUUGUCCGGAAUUACUGGGUGUAAAGGGAGCGCAGGCGGGAGAACAAGUUGGAAGUGAAAUCCAUGGGCUCAACCCAUGAACUGCUUUCAAAACUGUUUUUCUUGAGUAGUGAAGAGGUAGGCGGAAUUCCCGGUGUAGCGGUGGAAUGCGUAGAUAUCGGGAGGAACACCAGUGGCGAAGGCGGCCUACUGGGCACCAACUGACGCUGAGGCUCGAAAGUGUGGGUAGCAAACAGG
RNAcentral lists this ribosomal RNA (253 nucleotides) under Faecalibacterium prausnitzii. RNAcentral's name for it is "partial 16S ribosomal RNA". It matches the Rfam family "Bacterial small subunit ribosomal RNA", at positions 524 to 776 of the family's 1533-position model. Lineage: Bacteria; Bacillati; Bacillota; Clostridia; Eubacteriales; Oscillospiraceae. The record is from RNAcentral.